This 243-nucleotide RNase P RNA is filed under the name Pseudomonadota bacterium. Its description in RNAcentral is "partial RNase P RNA component class A". It matches the Rfam family "Bacterial RNase P class A", at positions 1 to 242 of the family's 367-position model. From Rfam's summary of the family: Ribonuclease P (RNase P) is a ubiquitous endoribonuclease, found in archaea, bacteria and eukarya as well as chloroplasts and mitochondria. Its best characterised activity is the generation of mature 5'-ends of tRNAs by cleaving the 5'-leader elements of precursor-tRNAs. Cellular RNase Ps are ribonucleoproteins. The record is from RNAcentral. Lineage: Bacteria; Pseudomonadati; Pseudomonadota.
GGAGUCGGCCAGGCAGUCGCUGUGUGCGCAAGCACAUGGAGGAAAGUCCGGGCUUCACAGGGCACGGUGCCAGGUAACGCCUGGGAGGCGCGAGCCUACGGAAAGUGCAACAGAAAGAUACCGCCUAAGUACCGCGCAAGCGGUACCGGUAAGGGUGAAAUGGUGCGGUAAGAGCGCACCGCGCGGGUGGCAACAUCAGCGGCACGGCAAACCCCACCUGAAGCAAGACCAAAUAGGGAAGCA